CACAAAAACCUUAAUUUCAACAUA
RNAcentral lists this microRNA (24 nucleotides) under Ananas comosus (pineapple). Its description in RNAcentral is "microRNA s1288_c032b". The record is from RNAcentral. Lineage: Eukaryota; Viridiplantae; Streptophyta; Magnoliopsida; Poales; Bromeliaceae.